Molecule: ribosomal RNA, 497 nt
Filed under: uncultured bacterium
Lineage: Bacteria
Description: partial 16S ribosomal RNA
Rfam family: Bacterial small subunit ribosomal RNA
Source: RNAcentral
GAUGAACGCUGGCGGCGUGCCUAAUACAUGCAAGUCGAGCGAACAGACGAGGAGCUUGCUCCUCUGACGUUAGCGGCGGACGGGUGAGUAACACGUGGAUAACCUACCUAUAAGACUGGGAUAACUUCGGGAAACCGGAGCUAAUACCGGAUAAUAUAUUGAACCGCAUGGUUCAAUAGUGAAAGACGGUUUUGCUGUCACUUAUAGAUGGAUCCGCGCCGCAUUAGCUAGUUGGUAAGGUAACGGCUUACCAAGGCAACGAUGCGUAGCCGACCUGAGAGGGUGAUCGGCCACACUGGAACUAAGGCACGGUCCAGACUCCUACGGGAGGCAGCAGUAGGGAAUCUUCCGCAAAGGGCGAAAGCCUGACGGAGCAACGCCGCGUGAGUGAUGAAGGGCUUCGGAUCGUAAAACUCUGUUAUUAGGGAAGAACAAAUGGGUAAGUAACUAUGCACGUCUUGACGGUACCUAAUCAGAAAGCCACGGCUAACUACGUG